This 885-nucleotide ribosomal RNA is filed under the name uncultured archaeon. Its description in RNAcentral is "bacterial SSU rRNA". It matches the Rfam family "Archaeal small subunit ribosomal RNA", at positions 114 to 997 of the family's 1478-position model. The record is from RNAcentral.
CUUGGGUCCGGCAUAACCCCGGGAAACUGGGGAUAAUUCCGGAUAACGCACAUAUGCUGGAAUGCUUUAUGCGUCAAAUGGAUUCGUCUGCCCAAGGAUGGGUCUGCGGCCUAUCAGGUAGUAGUGGGUGUAAUGUACCUACUAGCCGACGACGGGUACGGGUUGUGAGAGCAAGAGCCCGGAGAUGGAUUCUGAGACAUGAAUCCAGGCCCUACGGGGCGCAGCAGGCGCGAAAACUUUACAAUGCGGGAAACCGUGAUAAGGGGACACCGAGUGCCAGCAUCAUAUGCUGGCUGUCCGGGUGUGUAAAAUACACCUGUUAGCAAGGGCCGGGCAAGACCGGUGCCAGCCGCCGCGGUAACACCGGCGGCCCGAGUGGUGAUCGUGAUUAUUGGGUCUAAAGGGUCCGUAGCCGGUUUGGUCAGUCCUCCGGGAAAUCUGACGGCUUAACCGUUAGGCUUUCGGAGGAUACUGCCAGGCUUGGAACCGGGAGAGGUAAGAGGUACUACAGGGGUAGGAGUGAAAUCUUGUAAUCCCUGUGGGACCACCUGUGGCGAAGGCGUCUUACCAGAACGGGUUCGACGGUGAGGGACGAAAGCUGGGGGCACGAACCGGAUUAGAUACCCGGGUAGUCCCAGCCGUAAACGAUGCUCGCUAGGUGUCAGGCAUGGCGCGACCGUGUCUGGUGCCGUAGGGAAGCCGUGAAGCGAGCCACCUGGGAAGUACGGCCGCAAGGCUGAAACUUAAAGGAAUUGGCGGGGGAGCACAACAACGGGUGGAGCCUGCGGUUUAAUUGGACUCAACGCCGGACAACUCACCGGGGGCGACAGCAAUAUGUAGGCCAAGCCGAAGACUUUGCCUGAAUCGCUGAGAGGUGGUGCAUGG